GCAUAUUCACAGAACCAUAGAGAGAUUGAUUUUCAAGGAUGGGCUCACAUGAUUGUGGAGACUUGUCUGUCCUGGGCCCAGGAUCGGAGGCCGGGAGGGAGCCAGCCAGCAUGGUCCCACACACAAGCAAGCCCUGCAGCCGACAUGGAACCCAGGUCUGGCGGCCGCAGGUUCUUCUCACGAUGCCCUGCAGUCUACCUCCCAGUCUGCCGUGGACCACACGAGGUGCUGGCACAGAGGGAAUACUGUGACCGUCUUCCUACAGCAUCGUCACCACCAGACAGUCUGUGCUGACCCACCACAAGGUUGAAAAUCCUCCUCCACUUCUGUGUGUCCAGAAUUAAAACGACAGCAACAACAAAAAACUAUUCUAAACCAUUAAAAGGCCAAAGAUAGAGAGUAGGAAAAGUGCCUAGCUCGGG
This 422-nucleotide long non-coding RNA is filed under the name Ursus maritimus (polar bear). Its description in RNAcentral is "lncRNA (ENSUMAG00000024176.1)". Lineage: Eukaryota; Metazoa; Chordata; Mammalia; Carnivora; Ursidae. The record is from RNAcentral.